RNAcentral lists this long non-coding RNA (309 nucleotides) under Chrysolophus pictus (golden pheasant). Its description in RNAcentral is "lncRNA (ENSCPIG00010010892.1)". Lineage: Eukaryota; Metazoa; Chordata; Aves; Galliformes; Phasianidae. The record is from RNAcentral.
UAGGGUUUCGUUUUUGCACUGAAUGUAGCCAGGACGGAUCCUAGUGGGCUUUGGCAGCCCUUGGAAACUGUCAAAGGCAGUAUUUUGCAUUUCUGCAGAGCUUUGCACAGAUCUUGUUCCCAUGCAAACUGAUGAGGGAGAAAUACUGGAGGAAGGCAGUCCCAAGAUGGAACAUGAGGAUUUUGUAAUGGAGGGGCAUGGCAAGACUCCACCUCCUGGUGAAGAAAACAAACAGUGAGUCACAUGUUUAUUUAAAAAGGGCCUUACCAUCGUAGUAAAUGGUGUGAAGCACUCUUGUCUAAAUGUGCU